UACGGAGGGUGCAAGCGUUAAUCGGAAUUACUGGGCGUAAAGCGUGCGCAGGCGGUUUGCUAAGACCGAUGUGAAAUCCCCGGGCUUAACCUGGGAACUGCAUUGGUGACUGGCAGGCUAGAGUAUGGCAGAGGGGGGUAGAAUUCCACGUGUAGCAGUGAAAUGCGUAGAGAUGUGGAGGAAUACCGAUGGCGAAGGCAGCCCCCUGGGCCAAUACUGACGCUCAUGCACGAAAGCGUGGGGAGCAAACAGG
RNAcentral lists this ribosomal RNA (253 nucleotides) under uncultured bacterium. RNAcentral describes it as "partial 16S ribosomal RNA". It matches the Rfam family "Bacterial small subunit ribosomal RNA", at positions 524 to 776 of the family's 1533-position model. The record is from RNAcentral.